Rattus rattus (black rat) is the source of this 1904-nucleotide long non-coding RNA. RefSeq lists it as uncharacterized. The transcript is spliced from 2 exons. The record is from RefSeq and is a predicted model, not a curated record. Lineage: Eukaryota; Metazoa; Chordata; Mammalia; Rodentia; Muridae.
UCACCACUGUGUCCUGGCCUUUCUCUGCCCAUAUCACAGCUCACAGGCGGCUGGGGCAAACCUUGAGUUCCUCUGUAGAAACAGAGUGAUGUUGAAUGGACACUGAGCAGGCAGAGCAACACAGCUGAGGCAACUCAAUUCCAGCAACAAAUGCAUUAUUUGUUUCCCAUCUUAACAGCUCCUUUUGAGGUCUUGUCCCCACACCUAGCUUAAACACAGCAAUUUUCAUACAUGCCAGCCUGCUAUUUCAUAUUGUUGCUGUAAUACGCCUCCACAUCAUAGAUUUCAAAAAAAUAUAUACCUAACACUGAAAAGGGUGAUGCUUGUCAACAUCUAGUGCGUUGGGGGCCCAGGUACGGUCACAAAUAACCAGGACACAGGGGAUGCAGAGCAAAGGCAGAUGCAACUGCAUGCAGCUGCAAGCUUAUUAACCCUUAUAUAGGCAUGAAUAUGCAUUACCUCACAUUCCCUUUUGGCAAGAUAUAAUAAGAUCGUUAUUCCCAUGAUACCAGGAACAACCGAGGCAAGACUAGGCAAAGAAGUAAGACUAAGCCAAGGCUUCUUCUUAAAAUAUCUGUAUAGCAAAUCACCCCUCUUCCUAGUAUCACAAUAUACUUGUCAUAACCCAGAGAGCAUGAGAGCCGCUUCCACAAACAUAGGACACAGUGCAACAGAGUGUGAGGUAAAGUGAGAAAAAACAUUUUCUUCUCAAGGACAGCAUUCCAGCCCCUGCUUGCAUCUCUCAGCCGUCUUUCCUUGAUCCUGUCUGGGAAGUUAUCUCAAUGACUCCACAAUGUCUUUCUUUGUUCUUUUGUUUUAAAAGUAACACUUUCUAUAACAUAGCUAAAUGUCCUGGAAGGGGUUUAAUCGUGCAAAAAGAAAGCAAUGUAAUAUAUAAUGUAUGCAACCUUUAAUGACUGUAUCUAUUUUCUUAGGGGUAUUUUUCAGAUAUCUUCCCAGAUCUGGAUUUAACUUUGGUAAUUGUUAUCUGUCUAGAAAAUCAACAAUAUCGAAUAAAUAUUCCAGUUUUCUGGCGUAAAGUCCUCGGGAGUAAGAACUAAUGAUUUUGGAAUUUGCUCGGUGUCUAUUGUUAUGUCCCUCAUUUCAUUUCUGAUUUUUAAUUUAUGUAUUGUCUCUCUUGUGCAUUGUUAGUUUGAGGAAGGGGUUGUCUCUCUUGUGGAUCUUCUCAAAAAAAAAAAAGAGGAAGAAAAGACAGCUCUUGCUUUCCUUGACUUUGUAUUUUUCUCUUUGUUUCUAAAGGCUUGAUUUCAACCCUGAGUUUAUUGCCCUUCAUCAGAUCCUACCAGACUCUCUAUGGGAUGAGGCUUUGCCUCACCUUGGUAACAGCAGCAUGGAAUAAAUGAAGCUUCUGCUGAUCUCUGUUGUGGUGUUGCACAUCACAAUCUCACCGAAAACCAUGCAUAGCCUGGUUUUAGGCUCUAUUAAAGCGGCCCACUAUUUCAGUGUUCCCUGCAAGGUGCCAUGGAACAGUAGUAACAUAAUUCUGCAUGCACAUCGACAGGUUUCUCCACGGUCUUCUGGGUCAUUUGAUAAUAAUUUAUAGGCAGGCUGGAUGACGACACUCAGCUGACAAUGUGGACAUCUCAAGACAGUCACUGGACAAUGGCUGACACACUUGUCUGAAGACUGGAAAUGUUUCUCGAUCUUGGAGAGGAAAGAAGGACCCUCCAACUACACUGUACUCUAAGGAAGUUUAUUCAGGUGAGGGAUGACAUGGACUGUUUUGUCUCAUGUCACACAUGUCAGUAGUAAAUAUCCUAGGUAUUGGAUGGCGCUGUUAGCAUUUACAGAACAAAGCCCAUAGUGUUGGGAAGAUUAAUAAAUUAUGAGUAGGAUUAGAAAACCCCAAGCCUCUUCCAGGUUCUAGGAGAGCAAAAAAAAAA